UAGUCCACGCCGUAAACGAUGAAAACUUGCUGUCAGAUAUGUAAAUAUAUUUGGUGGCGUAGCUAACGCGUUAAGUUUUCCGCCUGGGGAGUACGAUCGCAAGGUUAAAACUCAAAGGAAUUGACGGGGGCCCGCACAAGCGGUGGAGCAUGUGGUUUAAUUCGAUGCUACGCGAAAGAACCUUACCUACUUUUGAUCUCCAUAACUAAAUAGAGAUAUUUGGGUGCCUUCGGGGAAUUGGAUGACAGGUGUUGCAUGGCUGUCGUCAGCUCGUGUUGUGAGAUGUUGGGUUAAGUCCCGUAACGAGCGCAACCCUCAUCCUUAGUUACUAACAAGUUAUGUUGAGCACUUUAAGGAAACUGCCGGCGAUAAUCCGGAGGAAGGUGGGGAUGACGUCAAGUCAUUAUGGCCUUUAUAAGUAGGGCUACACACGUGCUACAAUGGUUGAUACAAAGGGUCGCGAAACUGUGAAGUGGAGCAAAUCUUCUAAAGUCAAUCGUAGUCCGGAUUGGAGUCUGCAACUCGACU
Molecule: ribosomal RNA, 528 nt
Filed under: uncultured bacterium
Lineage: Bacteria
Description: bacterial SSU rRNA
Rfam family: Bacterial small subunit ribosomal RNA
Source: RNAcentral